This 68-nucleotide transfer RNA is filed under the name Nacolus tuberculatus. RNAcentral describes it as "tRNA-Pro". Lineage: Eukaryota; Metazoa; Arthropoda; Insecta; Hemiptera; Cicadellidae. The record is from RNAcentral.
CAGUAGUUAGUUUAUUUAAAAUUUAUGCUUUGGGUGUAUAAGAUAUAUGUAUAUAAUUAUAUUACUGA